CAGUCGCCGCGGUAAUACGUAGGUCCCGAGCGUUGUCCGGAUUUAUUGGGCGUAAAGCGAGCGCAGGCGGUUAGAUAAGUCUGAAGUUAAAGGCUGUGGCUUAACCAUAGUACGCUUUGGAAACUGUUUAACUUGAGUGCAAGAGGGGAGAGUGGAAUUCCAUGUGUGGCGGUGAAAUGCGUAGAUAUAUGGAGGAACACCGGUGGCGAAAGCGGCUCUCUGGCUUGUAACUGACGCUGAGGCUCGAAAGCGUGGGGAGCAAACAGGAUUAGAUACCCGGGUAGUCCCUGUCUCUUAUACA
This 301-nucleotide ribosomal RNA is filed under the name uncultured bacterium. RNAcentral's name for it is "partial 16S ribosomal RNA". It matches the Rfam family "Bacterial small subunit ribosomal RNA", at positions 509 to 808 of the family's 1533-position model. The record is from RNAcentral.